RNAcentral lists this long non-coding RNA (311 nucleotides) under Homo sapiens (human). Its description in RNAcentral is "non-protein coding lnc-VSNL1-1:1". Lineage: Eukaryota; Metazoa; Chordata; Mammalia; Primates; Hominidae. The record is from RNAcentral.
GGAACACCUGACCCUGCCUGGAGUCUAGAAAAAAGAACAAGACCUGAGAUAUUUCAGGAAAUCCAAGGAUGAGAAGGAUGGACUAGAGGCUAUCUAAAAUACAUUAUCUCAUAUACUUCAAUUCUCGAUAUGAGAGCUCCCCACCCAAUUUCUACAGCCCGCACCCUCAGGUCAGCAGCCGGGGGUUUUAAUUCAGUUCUUGUGGCUGUGUUCACUGUGUCACCAAUGGAUAUGAGGACCCAGUGCCAGGCUUGGUGUCAUCUAAACUUACACUUCCCAAGAGACCCAGUUUAUUGCUAUUUCUUGUAAAG